UACGGGGGGAGCAAGCGUUGUUCGGAAUCACUGGGCGUAAAGGGAGUCUAGGCGGUUUGGUAAGUGGGAUGUGAAAUCCCCGGGCUCACCCCGGGACCUGCAUCCCAAACUGCUGAGCUUGAGUACAGGAGAGGGUGGGGGAAUUCCAGGUGUAGCGGUGAAAUGCGUAGAUAUCCGGAGGAACACCGGUGGCGAAGGCGGCUUCCUGGACCGACACUGACGCUGAGGCGCGAAAGCUAGGGGAGCAAACGGG
This 253-nucleotide ribosomal RNA is filed under the name uncultured bacterium. Its description in RNAcentral is "partial 16S ribosomal RNA". It matches the Rfam family "Bacterial small subunit ribosomal RNA", at positions 524 to 776 of the family's 1533-position model. The record is from RNAcentral.